UGAAAAUAAUCAUGAAAUUAUCUUGCCAAGAGUGAAAUCUUAGAGGAGGGGACUUCCAAGCUUUUCUUUCUUUCCCAAUUUUAGUUGUUUUUUUUAAGGUGUAAGAUCUGGGACUACAUUGUAUUUUCUGUAAAUUGUACAGAGCAAGUAUGUGGUGACUUUUCUUCCCUCAGAUUUUAAUCUACUGGAUGUGCCCAUAAAGUUUGCCGGAAUAACAGCUGGUUCUGGAAGCUGUUGGAAAUAUGAGCUAUAGAAAGGUAUAUCAUCAUGGCACUUAUUAGCCACUGGAGAAGCCAGAAUUAUGUCAGCAAUACAAGCAGCCUGCUACUCAUUGGAUGACACCCUUUGUGAUGUUCCUGACACUGCCAGCAUCACCUAUUACAGAUUUAUAGCUUCCUUCAGCUGCAAAAAAAAAAAAAAAAGGAUCAAAAAAACCCUUUUCUUGUUCUUAUCUACUAAGCAAAUGAAUAUUAUAAUCUACAAAGAAAUGUGCUGAAUUGAUUACGUCCUCAUUCAUUUAUUCACUCGUGUCACAAAAAUUAACUGAAUUCCAAACAUGGACCAAGUACUAAAUUCAUUUUUAAAAAUUUAAUGAAUAAAAUGAGUAGAUGCAUAGGUGAACAAAUGAAAAACUACUGUGAUUACCCUUUUGUAGAAUAAAUGUGAAUUAUUCUCAAAGUAGAGAGGCUUAACACAGAAGACAAGGUAGGGAAGAAACUUCUACCAGUUUAAAGAACCCUAAGAGGACAGAGAAGGGACAUUUAGUUCUGAGAUAUCAAUGUUAGCACUGUGUUCCAGAUUCAGAAGCUGUCAUUACUUGAGAGGAGAAGGAAGAAACAAAACAAAAUGUUAUUAACAGUGAUGACAACAUGUAAGUCUACUUGGUUCUACCAUAAAUAUUAGUAUAGACUUUCCUAUUUUCAAACUAAUGCUGAUUAUAACUUUAUCAGUUUAGCUUACCACAACCCUGAAGAGGUUUACAUUGCAAUCAUUCCACUCUACCUAUUAAAAACUGAUUAUUUUGCAACU
Molecule: long non-coding RNA, 1029 nt
Organism: Cebus imitator (Panamanian white-faced capuchin)
Lineage: Eukaryota; Metazoa; Chordata; Mammalia; Primates; Cebidae
Exons: 2
Source: RefSeq, a predicted model, not a curated record